Pan troglodytes (chimpanzee) is the source of this 1353-nucleotide RNA transcript. It is a transcript of the gene named DEAD/H-box helicase 11 like 17 (pseudogene), with no coding region annotated. NCBI's taxonomy places the organism in Eukaryota, Metazoa, Chordata, Mammalia, Primates, Hominidae. The transcript is spliced from 2 exons. The record is from RefSeq and is a predicted model, not a curated record.
AUGUGUGGGCCCACCGGCCCCAGCCUCCUGUCUCCCCCCAGGUGUGUGGUGAUGCCAGGCAUGCCCUUCCCCAGCAUCAGGUCUCCAGAGCUGCAGAAGACGACGGCCGACUUGGAUCACACUCUUGUGAGUGUCCCCAGUGUUGCAGAGGGCCAUCAGGCACCAAAGGGAUUCUGCCAGCAUAGUGCUCCUGGACCAGUGAUACACCCGGCACCCUGUCCUGGACAAGCUGUUGGCCUGGAUCUGAGCCCUCGUGGAAGUCAAAGCCACCUUUGUUUCUGCCAUUGCUGCUGUGUGGAAGUUCACUCCUGCCUUUUCCUUUCCCGAGAGCCUCCACCACCCCGAGAUCACAUUUCUCACUGCCUUUUGUCUGCCCAGUUUCACCAGAAGUAGGCCUCUUCCUGACAGGCAGCUGCACCACUGCCUGGCGCUGCGCCCUUCCUUUGCUCUGCCCGCUGGAGACGGUGUUUGUCAUGGGCCUGGUCUGCAGGCAUCCUGCUACAAAGGUGAAACCCAGGAGAGUGUGGAGUCCAGAGUGUUGCCAGGACCCAGGCACAGGCAUUAGUGCCCGUUGGAGAAAACAGGGGAAUCCCAAAGAAAUGGUGAGUCCUGGCCAUCCGUGAGAUCUUCCCAGGGCAGCUCCCCUCUGUGGAAUCCAAUCUGUCUUCCAUCCUGCGUGGCAGAGGGCCAGGCUUCUCACUGGGCCUCUGCAGGAGGCUGCCAUUUCUGUCCUGCCCACCUUCUUAGAAGCGAGACGGAGGACACCCAUCUGCUUCUGCCCUUUCCAUAAUAACUAAAGUUAGCUGCCCUGGACUAUUCACCCCCUAGUCUUAAUUUAAAAAGAUCCCCAUGGCCACAGGGCCCCUGCCUGGGGGCUUGUCACCUCCCCCACCUUCUUCCUGAGUCACUCCUGCAGCCUUGCUCCCUAACCUGCCCCAUAGCCUUGCCUGGAUUUGUAUCUCCCUGGCUUGGUGCCAGUUCCUCCAAGUCGAUAGCACCUCCCUCCCUCUCAACCACUUGAGCAAACUCCAAGACAUCUUCUACCCCAACACCAGCAAUUGUGCCAAGGGCCAUUAGGCUCUCAGCAUGACUAUUUUUAGACACCCCGUGUCUAUCACUGAAACCUUUUUUGUGGGAGACUAUUCCUCCCAUCUGCAACAGCUGCCCCUGCUGACUGCCCUUCUCUCCUCCCUCUCAUCCCAGAGAAACAGGUCAGCUGGGAGCUUCCGCCCCCACUGCCUAGGCACCAACAGGGGCAGGAGGCAGUCACUGACCCCGAGACGUUUGCAUCCUGCACAGCUAGAGGUCCUUAAUUAAAAGCACACUGUUGGUUUCUGCUCAGUUCUUUAUUGA